This 396-nucleotide ribosomal RNA is filed under the name uncultured bacterium. RNAcentral's name for it is "bacterial SSU rRNA". It matches the Rfam family "Bacterial small subunit ribosomal RNA", at positions 29 to 430 of the family's 1533-position model. The record is from RNAcentral.
AUUGAACGCUGGCGGCAUGCCUUACACAUGCAAGUCGAACGGUAACGCGGGGCAACCUGGCGACGAGUGGCGAACGGGUGAGUAAUGCAUCGGAACGUGCCCAGUAGUGGGGGAUAGCCCGGCGAAAGCCGGAUUAAUACCGCAUACGACCUACGGGUGAAAGCGGGGGACCGUAAGGCCUCGCGCUAUUGGAGCGGCCGAUGUCAGAUUAGGUAGUUGGUGGGGUAAAGGCCUACCAAGCCUUCGAUCUGUAGCUGGUCUGAGAGGACGACCAGCCACACUGGGACUGAGACACGGCCCAGACUCCUACGGGAGGCAGCAGUGGGGAAUUUUGGACAAUGGGCGCAAGCCUGAUCCAGCCAUGCCGCGUGCGGGAAGAAGGCCUCGGUUGUAACG